GGAAGAGAUAAGUGCUGAAAGCAUCUAAGCACGAAACUUGCCCCGAGAUGAGUUCUCCCUGACUCCUUGAGAGUCCUGAAGGAACGUUGAAGACGACGACGUUGAUAGGCCGGGUGUGUAAGCGCAGCGAUGCGUUGAGCUAACCGGUACUAAUGAACCGUGAGGCUUAACCUUACAACGCCGAAG
RNAcentral lists this ribosomal RNA (186 nucleotides) under Escherichia coli. RNAcentral describes it as "partial 23S ribosomal RNA". It matches the Rfam family "Bacterial large subunit ribosomal RNA", at positions 2757 to 2925 of the family's 2925-position model. The record is from RNAcentral. Lineage: Bacteria; Pseudomonadati; Pseudomonadota; Gammaproteobacteria; Enterobacterales; Enterobacteriaceae.